This 834-nucleotide long non-coding RNA is filed under the name Mustela putorius furo (domestic ferret). RNAcentral describes it as "lncRNA (ENSMPUG00000029429.1)". Lineage: Eukaryota; Metazoa; Chordata; Mammalia; Carnivora; Mustelidae. The record is from RNAcentral.
GGGCAGGAGACCUCAGUGUUGGGGGGCUAGCUAAGGGCCCUGGGAUUACGCUGCCAACAGCAGAGUCCCCACGGUGUCCUGGGAGGCAGUGGGCUUAGCUACGGGGGGGACUUCCUUCCGCCUAGUGCCCCGCUCUCCUCUGCGGGGUCUGAGAUGGGGCGUCCUACGGCAGCAUUGAGUGUGACUUGGGAGCCAGAGCAUGUGAAGUGAGGCUGUGAAGCAGAGGGCAGCUCCAACUGGUGGAGUCCUGUUCACACUCCAGUUUCUCCAGAAACGACUCUGACUGACUCUCCCUGGCCAGAACACCCAUGGCGGAUCAGUCUGGACCUAACAUCUCUCCAUGCAUUCGGUCUCGAGUCCUCUUUAUGGGGUCAGCUUUGUUUUCCCCCAAGAGUGGGAAUAAGGCCAUACACUCUGAUGGGGAAGGCAGACAAGAAAGAAACAGAUACACACAGAGCAGAUUUCAGCAGCCCCUGCUGGCUCCUGGAGUCUGAAAAUAACCUAGGGUGGCAUAUUCGUCCCCCACGUGAGGAUCGCGGCAAGAGGGACUGGACUGUUUGACAGCAGUAGGCCCAGUAUCAAGUCUGGAACCAGCAAGACACAAUACGUGAGGUUUCCUUCCAUCUUGACAUGGGGAGCAUCUCUCUCAUGAUGCAGACCUCUGCAUGCCCACGGAGCCAUGGUCAUUUCAUGCGCAAUGGAUCGCUCCAGCCGCGGCGUAUUUUGGGCAGAGAUUACUUCAGAAAGGGUGUCCAUCUUCCUUCAUCCUGGGGGCUUCUGUGUCAUCACCAGAGUGGAGGGAGACACCAGCUCUUGUUUACUCCCUGAAAUGUG